Molecule: ribosomal RNA, 486 nt
Filed under: uncultured bacterium
Lineage: Bacteria
Description: partial 16S ribosomal RNA
Rfam family: Bacterial small subunit ribosomal RNA
Source: RNAcentral
GAUGAACGCUAGCGGCAGGCUUAACACAUGCAAGUCGAGGGGCAGCGCGGGAUAGCAAUAUCCUGGCGGCGACCGGCGGAAGGGUGCGUAACGCGUGAGCGACAUGCCCGUUGCCCGGGGACAACCGGUGGAAACGCCGACUAAUCCCCGAUGGGAUAUUGUGCCGCAUGGCACGAUAUUGAAAGUUACGGCGGCGACGGAUUGGCUCGCGUCCGAUUAGCUGGUUGGCGGGGUGACGGCCCACCAAGGCUGCGAUCGGUAGGGGUUCUGAGAGGAAGGCCCCCCACAAUGGGACUGAGACACGGCCCAUACUCCUACGGGAGGAAGCAGUGAGGAAUAUUGGUCAAUGGGCGGAAGCCUGAACCAGCCAUGCCGCGUGCGGGAAGGAGGCCCUAUGGGCUGUGAACCGCUUUUGCCUGGGGGCAAUAAGGGCGUCGCGCACGUCCGAUGAGAGUACCAGGCGAAUAAGCAUCGGCUAACUCCGUG